This 243-nucleotide ribosomal RNA is filed under the name uncultured bacterium. Its description in RNAcentral is "partial 16S ribosomal RNA". It matches the Rfam family "Bacterial small subunit ribosomal RNA", at positions 99 to 334 of the family's 1533-position model. The record is from RNAcentral.
CGAACGGGUGAGUAACACGUGGGUAAUCUGCCCUUAAGUCUGGGAUAAGCCUGGGAAACUGGGUCUAAUACCGGAUGAUAUCGAUGAAUGGCAUCUUUUAACGAUCAAAGGCGGGGCAACCUGCCGCUUAGGGAUGAGCCCGCGGUCCAUUAGCUUGUUGGUGGGGUAAGAGCCUACCAAGGCGACGAUGGAUAGCCGGCCUGAGAGGGUGAACGGCCACACUGGGACUGAGAUACGGCCCAG